CCUACGGGAGGCAGCAGUGGGGAAUAUUGCGCAAUGGGCGAAAGCCUGACGCAGCGACGCCGCGUGAGGGAUGAAGGUCUUCGGAUCGUAAACCUCUGUCGGCAGGGAAGAACGGUCACUGUGCUAAUCAGCAGUGAAUUGACGGUACCUGCAAAGGAAGCACCGGCUAACUCCGUGCCAGCAGCCGCGGUAAUACGGAGGGUGCGAGCGUUAAUCGGAAUUACUGGGCGUAAAGCGCUCGUAGGCGGUAUGUCAAGUCAAGGGUGAAAUCCCCGCGCUCAACGUGGGAACUGCCUUUGAAACUGGAAAACUGGAGGGUGUGAGAGGAUAGUGGAAUUCCAGGUGUAGGAGUGAAAGCCGUAGAUAUCUGGAGGAACAUCAGUGGCGAAGGCGACUAUCUGGCACAUAACUGACGCUGAGGAGCGAAAGCGUGGGUAGCAAACAGGAUUAGAUACCCUAGUAGUC
This 465-nucleotide ribosomal RNA is filed under the name uncultured bacterium. RNAcentral's name for it is "partial 16S ribosomal RNA". It matches the Rfam family "Bacterial small subunit ribosomal RNA", at positions 338 to 795 of the family's 1533-position model. The record is from RNAcentral.